UCCCUCCAGAUUCCUUGUCCCUCAGAAUGAAAAUAUUGGUCUCAGUGACUAAAAAGAAGGAAAAGUAAAACUGAAAUGAACUUGGUGUCUGUAGUGAUAAACAAGUUCAUUUCAUAUAUGU
RNAcentral lists this small nucleolar RNA (121 nucleotides) under Echinops telfairi (small Madagascar hedgehog). Its description in RNAcentral is "Small nucleolar RNA SNORA61 (ENSETEG00000026787.1)". The record is from RNAcentral. Lineage: Eukaryota; Metazoa; Chordata; Mammalia; Afrosoricida; Tenrecidae.